RNAcentral lists this ribosomal RNA (321 nucleotides) under uncultured Euglypha. RNAcentral's name for it is "partial small subunit ribosomal RNA". The stretch from base 62 to 321 matches the Rfam family "Eukaryotic small subunit ribosomal RNA", at positions 691 to 955 of the family's 1831-position model. The record is from RNAcentral. Lineage: Eukaryota; Cercozoa; Imbricatea; Euglyphida; Euglyphidae.
GAUUUCUGACGGACCGGGUUGACCCGCUUUCGAAUAGAAGGUGAGUGCCGAUUCGAGUUAGUCAUCCUUCUAGAUAGCCAUGCCUACCGUUCAUUCGGUUGGGCGUGUGUGGUCUAGAUCUUUUACUUUGAAAAAAUUGUGUUUAAAGCAGGCUUAGGCUAUGAAUACAUUAGCAUGGAAUAAUAAUAUAGGACUUUGGUUCUAUUUUGUUGGUUUCUAGGACCGAAGUAAUGAUUGAUAGGGAUAGUUGGGGGUGCUAGUAUUCAGUGGCCAGAGGUGAAAUUCUUGGAUUCACUGAAGACUAACUACUGCGAAAGCAUU